RNAcentral lists this long non-coding RNA (522 nucleotides) under Homo sapiens (human). RNAcentral describes it as "non-protein coding lnc-ACD-1:1". Lineage: Eukaryota; Metazoa; Chordata; Mammalia; Primates; Hominidae. The record is from RNAcentral.
AUGCUUGGUCUUCUUUUAGAACAAAGUAAGCUAAAAAAUAAAUGCUCGUGUUUACCUAGUACUAUCCAGGGCAGAGAAAGGCCUGCAUAAGCGUGGCAAUUAGCAAAGAAGUGGACACUGCUGUGGGGCAGGGAGUUCCAUUAGGCUGUGCCACAUGACCACCUACAUCCCUUCACUCAAGGCCCAUCCUCUUUUUUUUGAGACGGAGUCUCUUGCUCUGUCGCCCAGGUUGUAGUGCAGUAGCAUGAUUUUGGCUCACUGCAACCUCUACCUUCCAGGUUGAAGUAAUUCUCUUGCCUCAGCCUCCUGAGUAGCUGGGACUACAGGUACAUGCCACCACACCUGGCUAACAUUUUUUUUUUCUAUUUUCAGUAGAGACGGGGUUUCACCAUGUUGGCCAGGAUGGUCUCGAUCUCCUGCCCUUGUGAUCCGCCUGCUUCAGCCUCCCGAAGUGCAGGGAUUACAGGUGUGAGCCACCAUGCCCAGCCAUCAAGGCUCAUCCUCACCAAGUUAGCUUUCAAU